RNAcentral lists this ribosomal RNA (174 nucleotides) under Scinax albertinae. RNAcentral describes it as "partial 16S large subunit ribosomal RNA". The record is from RNAcentral. Lineage: Eukaryota; Metazoa; Chordata; Amphibia; Anura; Hylidae.
ACGUGAUCUGAGUUCAGACCGGAGUAAUCCAGGUCGGUUUCUAUCUAUACCAAAGCUUACUCUAGUACGAAAGGACCGAAAAAGCAUGGUCCCUGCUUUAACCACACCAUCAUUAAAAAUUUUUGCCCACAACUCAAUCAAUUAUUAACCUACCACAUUUUUCAAGAUCAGGAU